Pristis pectinata (smalltooth sawfish) is the source of this 4671-nucleotide long non-coding RNA. RefSeq lists it as uncharacterized. NCBI's taxonomy places the organism in Eukaryota, Metazoa, Chordata, Chondrichthyes, Rhinopristiformes, Pristidae. The record is from RefSeq and is a predicted model, not a curated record. The transcript is spliced from 3 exons.
GGUUACACACCUUUGCACAUAGCAGCUCUCCAUUCCCACUUAGACAUCAUGGAUCUUCUAAUCCAUAACUAUGGUGCAAAAACAAAUGUAAGGGACUAUAGUGGACGGUUUGCAUCCCACUAUCUAAAAGACAAUGAUGACCCUACAGAUCGCUCUAACGUCUCUUCAAAAUUUCAGCAGUCUCGGGGAGAGCGACGGAACCGGAAGCUUGCUGAACUCUUCCUGCCAAAGAGUUAUGGAAGCAGUAAAAAGAAUUGGGGUUCAGUAGAGAACCUGACAACAGAUGACAAAGAUGGCUCCAUAUUCCUGUCUAUACCAACAUCAUACAAAGCUGUUCGCAAGUUCUCCAGAUAGGACACUUAAAUAAGCAAGAAAUCGUGAUUUGAAUAAGUUAGGAGACCUGUUACAGCCUUUUAUUUUAAACAAGCUGCAAAAUAUAUUGUGUAUUACAUUAGUAUCAACACUUAACAGCAGGUUAAAGUGCAGUUGUGUUUUAGGCAUCUAUUUUCCCACUAUUAUGUUGCUACACCAGGGGAAUCUUCCUUACUUAUUAUUUUAAACCAUUUUGUGUAGUUGGUUCACACUUGGUUCUCUAUUUCCUAUGCCUCUCAUUGCAAGUCUUGGAAUGGAAAACCCUGCUCUUGGCUUCAAAGGGCCACUUGUUUGAAAAUCACUGGGGGUUUGUACUUGCACUCUGUCUGGUUUUAAUGUUUCAUCUUUCAUUUGAGAUGUACGUGUUUGGAUCUCAUUUUGGGUACACAGUGGGUUUCAGUGCCCAUAAGGAUAAUCAUCCAUGUAACAAACAGCCUCGUAAAGUAAAGCAGUAACAUCCCAACUAAUGUUGGUGUGGCUGUUAUAAGAGGGAUAGGUGUUGACUCCAUCCUUCCAUCUGCUAUGCACAAGGCUCUCAGUGGCUCAGCUGUGAGCAUAUAGUAUUGCCUUUCUUUGACUAUUGUGAUUUGGCUUCAUUGUGGAGAUUUCCAGUGCAAACACACUCUGUGUUUAUUACAUUUGUGCCACAAGACCAUGGUCAUUUGGGGACGUACUAGAAAGAUACUUGCAUGCAUGGGAAAAUACCCUGAGUAAAAUCAGGGACUCUGGGAAGUGAAGUUAUCUGAAGUAAAAUCUGGAAGAAAAAAUAACACAUUCAUUUUGUUGCACUCAAGAUGCAAACAUUUGUAGCUCUUUCUAUAGAAAGUUGUAGUUAUCCAGAUCAGGGUAAAUGGCCCUAAAUGACAGUACGAUAAGAGGGUUUAAUUUGCAAGAGACCAUUUUAAUUGAAUGCAAUGUGUUUAAGCUUUUGCAUCAGUUAACCAUAAAAUAAACUUGCCAGGGGGUUGAGAGAAACCAUCCCAUUCUAGGACAUCCAUAGUUUUCCUAAGCAACCCUGCAAUAGCAAAUGAUCUUAACGCAUUUCUCUUGUAUAGCAAUAAAUAUCACCUAUGAUGUACCUGCUUUUGCUUCUACAGUCAUGCUAAGGCUAUGAGUACUUGCAGCUGCUGGUUUCCUAUGAUUUACAGUGGGAAGACUGGGUUCAUGCUGCUUCCAGUAUGAUUAGCCUUAUUGAAGUCGCAUGAAUCUGCACCAUCUGUAGAGUAGCCAGGCUGUCUUAUUACUUGGCUUUGCUUCAGAUCAGGUUCUAAAAUCAAAUUGCAAUAAUUCUACAUGAAACUAUUUUUCAGUGGUAUGACGUCACAGAUUGUAUAACUGCAGCUUCAGAAUAACGAGGAAGAAACCUUAAUGCAUAACUCCUCUUCUAUCUUGCUUCAAUGAUCUAUUUUCCUUUACUUGUGCAGAAUUUAGGUAUGUCUGAGGACUUCAACUAUAUUGAUUAUUUAUUUGUUAGCUAUGACUCACUGCCACAGUAGUAAGAUUCCAGUAUUAUUACAGGUUUACAAUUAUACAAUAUCAACUAUAGAGAGGGGCUAGAGCAAGUUUAGGUUAAUGAGAAGUAUUGUUUCUUACAUUUAGUUCAAUGUACUGGAGAUUGAAAUACCUCUUAAAACCUUACCAUUGUAUUACACUGACCCAUGCUGACCAGAACAAUGUCGGUGUUUAUUGCCGCUUUUUAAUUAAUUAUUUUGUUCUAAAUAGGCAGUAAUGUGCAGAUAUGCUCAGCUGGGUUGGUCUAAAGUUCAAAUAAACUGCCAACCUAUGGGUCUUUUAUGGAAAAUACCCACAUAAGUAAAGUGCCAGAUGACUGAAGUAUUUUGUACCUUAUGACUAUGUGUGAGUUGCAACUUUUGAGAAUUAAUGGGUUAAUAGGAAAAUCGAACAAUAUGUGGUAUCUGGAUUAAUAUUAACCUAUAACUGAUUCAUAAAGCACUAAAUGGCAAGUUCAGCACAACAAAAUAAUGCCCUGAUUCUGCCAAAAUGUUUUCUUCUUCCAUGCAGUUACAGAACAUGUAGAGAUUAAUUAGUUCUGAGUUAAUUCAAAAUAUGCCUGAUUUUUGUAUUUGAUGAAUGUAUUCCUGAAGCAGUGCCUUGAAUGCUGAUAUGAUCUUUUUACAUGGGAGGGUGAUGUAGAAAAAAGUGUUUCUGCUUUAUCAUUUUCAAAUGAGUUGUGUGAACUAAACAACUAUCAGGAUUAUAUUAAAAAAAAGCAAUUUCUUGGCCAACAACCAACCUCCUAAGUCAAAGUGACAUCUUAAUUCAAUGUCAUUGUGCUUUGGAACCCUCAAGUGACCAAUGGGUGGUUGGAUUAGCCAAACUGAAAACUACCUUGUCUAAUUAAAAGUAAAAUAAAUAACAUUAACAGCAGGUGGGAAAUGUAAAAAACUGAAGUAAAAUCAUGCAUAUUGUUAUGCACAUCUGACAGCACUCUGAAGGAGACAGGAUAUAACAAUUUGUGGGAAGUAAACCUGGUCAACUGCAGGCUCUAAACUCUUUACUUAGCACUGUUUUCUUUAACGUUAAUAGCAGAGAUUUAUGUAAUUCUAGAUGGUCUCCAAAGACCUGAAAUGUGUACUCUAUUAUCAGUCUCCUAAAUCCUUUGGAGGACCUGGUGUAGAUUAAGCAGCUUCCAUGAUGAUUUUAUCCAGAGUUUGAAGCAUAUUAUGCCUUUACUGGGUAAAUUGUGUGAUGUGAAAGGUCAGAAAUGUUGUGUUCACAAAGUACCAACACCAGCACCUUGGGUGAGUAAAGCCUUGAUAAAUAUGAAUUAUGUAAUUAUGUUUUUUUUGAGUACCAAUGAUGGAAAUUACAAGAAGUUACUGCAGUUUUGAAUUCCUCAGAAUAAGGAUGUUGAAGCAAUAGUGAGAGUAUUGUGCAGUUUCACUAAAAUGCUGUCAGUAUGAGAAAAUACAAAAGGAAGGCAGCAUGGCAAAAUUAGGGUCACUUGUUAGAUCCAGAAUAUUUCGAUAAGUGUCUCAAAGUAUGAAUGAUGGGACAGAAUGAUUAGAAGCUGUUUCCAAAGGUUUGAAACAUGAAAUGACGAGGGCACAGCUGUCAAAUGAAAUGUGAUACCAAACUUUUUUUUACGCAGAGGUUAUAAGACUGCAUGUUCUCUGCCAGCAUUGUGAUUCCAGCAGGGAGCAAGCAGAUCAAUGAUUCAGAAUAGAUUUAAGUAUAGUUACAAUAAAGGCAGAUAAAGGAAUAUGAGAAUAGUUAAAGCACAUGGCAUUAAUACUACUGCUUAUGUGGCUAACAUGAAAAAGCAGACCAUUUUGGCAAACACCUAUUACUCUAUUGCGGUUUCUGUGUGAAAUUGGUUACUGAUGUACUAUUUCAAUCGCAGUUUAAAUUAUCCUGCAAUGAAUAUGUCAUCAAAUCAGUAUUAAGAGCAAAGUAAAGUAGUAUAUACAUAGGAGAAUAUAUUGGGUUUCAUGUUUCCUUAAUAAAUGCAAAUGGGAAGUCCACAGUGAACAAGCAGUCUGCUUCACCACAGGAUGAAAAUUUGCCUCAUUGACAGCACAUCUUUUAAACGUGGUGUAUAGUUUCCCAAUCUGUGUAAUUCUAAACUAUGAAUUCCAGUAUAGGAACACAACUGUCUUUCUGGAUAUAAUUGAAUACCAGAACUAUUUUGCAGAUAGAUGUUAAAUGGGGAUUGAAACUCUCACAAAAUUCAGUGGUGAAUACUGGGAAAUGCUGGUUAGGCAUCAUUCUGUGGUAAAUUGGUUGAAACCAGAGCUAUUGACGCAGAGGAAGCCCAUCAACUGGUUGUGUGUGUGCGCCAACUUCAGAAACAGGCAUUCAAUUAGUCCCAUUCUCCUUUUUUUUCCCAUUGCCUCCUUUUUCAAGUGUCUGUCCAUUUCUCUUUGAAAGCUAGUAUAGCAUGUGCUUCCAUCUUCUCAAGUAAUGUACAUAAAAACAUAGCUGCACAAAAUGUUAUUUAGAUCAUGUUUGUUAAUGGAAACCUAGUAAAUUAAACUGUUCAUUAAAUGAAGCUUUUGCUCAGGAGCUGGUUGAAAAGGUAAUGGCUGUACUAUUAAGUCUAUAGUUACUGCAAUUUGUCUUUCUCAACUGGUACUGUAUUGUUGAUUCCAAGCAGAGACCGACAUGGAUGUUCAAUGAGCCUCACAAGGCUGUGCUUUUCUCUUUUGUUCAUCUGGAUUUUAUGUUGGUGCAGCUCAAUUUACUUUUCAAACUCAAUAACUAAUUUACAGAGUUGUCUACAACUAAUCGUUAUACCUAUAAAUUGUGUUAUUAAUGUUGUCAAACAAAUAAAGUUAC